Molecule: ribosomal RNA, 451 nt
Filed under: uncultured bacterium
Lineage: Bacteria
Description: bacterial SSU rRNA
Rfam family: Bacterial small subunit ribosomal RNA
Source: RNAcentral
GUGGGGAAUAUUGGACAAUGGGGGGAACCCUGAUCCAGCCAUGCCGCGUGUGUGAAGAAGGCCUUUUGGUUGUAAAGCACUUUAAGCGAGGAGGAGGCUCUUGUAGAUAAUACCUACAAUGAGUGGACGUUACUCGCAGAAUAAGCACCGGCUAACUCUGUGCCAGCAGCCGCGGUAAUACAGAGGGUGCAAGCGUUAAUCGGAUUUACUGGGCGUAAAGCGUGCGUAGGCGGCUGAUUAAGUUGGAUGUGAAAUCCCCGAGCUUAACUUGGGAAUUGCAUUCAAGACUGGUCGGCUAGAGUAUGGGAGAGGAUGGUAGAAUUCCAGGUGUAGCGGUGAAAUGCGUAGAGAUCUGGAGGAAUACCGAUGGCGAAGGCAGCCAUCUGGCCUAAUACUGACGCUGAGGUACGAAAGCAUGGGGAGCAAACAGGAUUAGAUACCCUAGUAGUCC